GCGGGUGUAGUUUAGUGGUAGAAUACCUGCCUUCCAAGCAGGGGACGAGAGUUCGAUUCUCUCCACCCGCA
This 71-nucleotide transfer RNA is filed under the name Gammaproteobacteria bacterium. RNAcentral describes it as "tRNA-Gly". It matches the Rfam family "tRNA". From Rfam's summary of the family: Transfer RNA (tRNA) molecules are approximately 80 nucleotides in length. Their secondary structure includes four short double-helical elements and three loops (D, anti-codon, and T loops). Further hydrogen bonds mediate the characteristic L-shaped molecular structure. tRNAs have two regions of fundamental functional importance: the anti-codon, which is responsible for specific mRNA codon recognition, and the 3' end, to which the tRNAs corresponding amino acid is attached (by aminoacyl-tRNA synthetases). tRNAs cope with the degeneracy of the genetic code in two manners: having more than one tRNA (with a specific anti-codon) for a particular amino acid; and 'wobble' base-pairing, i.e. permitting non-standard base-pairing at the 3rd anti-codon position. The record is from RNAcentral. Lineage: Bacteria; Pseudomonadati; Pseudomonadota; Gammaproteobacteria.